Molecule: long non-coding RNA, 1602 nt
Organism: Myotis daubentonii (Daubenton's bat)
Lineage: Eukaryota; Metazoa; Chordata; Mammalia; Chiroptera; Vespertilionidae
Source: RefSeq, a predicted model, not a curated record
CUGAUGCCUUGAGAAGUGAAGGAAGAAAGUCGGCCCCUUUCUAAUUAAACAAGCAGGGAAGUGGGCAGGGCAUGUAUGUAGAUAAAGGCAUAGAUAUGUGUGUAAACAUAAGCAAAGCUCAGAGGGUACACAGCAACCUGAAUACCCCCGAGGAGGAGGAUGCAGGCGGUGUCACGUUUAUUACAUAACUACACCUGGAUUAGGCAGCAUCUCCUCCGGAAGUCUUCUCGGACCCGCCCCUGUGUUGGAGGCGCUGCCUCUGAGCACGCAGCUGGGCGCCCUCAAGAGUCCAGUCCAAAGGCUGAGUGCGGGAGCUGAGGGCAGCCUGGACGAGCACAGCAGCUCUUCCGGGUGUGUGUUUGUCCACUCGGGCCGGUGAAAACAGCCGGCGAGGACAAUGACGAACAAUGAUGAGCGUGGCACUGACACCAGGCAGCCCGGCUCCCCCUCCCAGUGUUGAUCUGUGGCCUUUUUAAAGGCCAAGACAGUCCUCUGUGUGAUGGCGCCGUCUGGAACUCCCCAGAAAAUGCCCAUGACAAUGGAGCAGGCAGCCACGCCAGAUUGGGAUCUGGCCAGCUUUGGAGGGGGCAUUGCUCAGUCUGGGAGUCUCUGCCCCCAUCCCGGGGAAAUUCGGGCACACAGAGAAACACGCACGUCGGGAGAACACCAGGUGAAGAUAAAGGCAGAGAUUGAAAGAUGCUUCUACAAGCAGGAAUGCCAAAGAUUGCCAGCAGACCAGCAAGUGGGGAGAGAGGCCAAACUAGACUCUCCCUCACAGCCCUCAGAAGGAACCGACCCUGCUGACACCUCGAUUCUGGACUUCUAGCCUCCAGAACCGAGACAAUACAUUUCUGUUGUUAUGGCAGCCCUCAGCCAAUGAACACAGCAGGGAAAUAUGCGUACCAUCCAAUGCACUGUUUCAAUCAUUUUUAAAGUGUACCGCUCAUUGGUGUUCAGUGCAUUCACAUUGUGCCACUUCUUUUUCUCUUUGGCUAGUGCCAAACCCAGGAAGGCCGUGGGCAGGUUGAAAGACCUGGCUCCAUGUCUGCUCUGCUCAGCUGAGUGACCUGUGUCGUCAUGUGUGCCGUGAAGAGACGGGGCACACAACUUCCUGCUCGGAUGCGAUCAUCGCCCAUGUGUGGAGAGAUUAUAAUAGCAUAAUAGCUCACCAUUUACUGAGCAAUUAUUAUGUUCCAGGACCAUGCAAAGAGCUUUACAAGGGUUAUCUCUUUUAAUAAGUAACUUUAUCAGGGAGGUAUCAUUAGUCCCAUUUGACAGAUGUGGAAAUGGAGCCUCAAAGAGAUUAAUGAUAUGGUGCGGUCUUGGCAGCCUCAGAAGAUGCAGGGGUGGAGGCCUUCACCACUGUGCAAUAGUCGCCUUCCGUAUCUUUUGGGCACACUGGCCUGGGAGAAAGUAAAAAACAUAAGAUACUGAUCAGAUUGAAAGGUGUUUCUGCCAAAUCAGCCAACUGCCUUAGAGACCCCACUGCACACAUCAUCAUACCCCCAGAAGAGUUCAAAAAUUCUAAAUGCAAACUUGGCUUUCCAGGUCAUUUCGGAGGUAUAUUUAUGGAAGUAGGAAAAUAACACAUCUUAUUUGCCA